This 585-nucleotide ribosomal RNA is filed under the name Saccharomyces cerevisiae (brewer's yeast). RNAcentral's name for it is "eukaryotic LSU rRNA". It matches the Rfam family "Eukaryotic large subunit ribosomal RNA", at positions 53 to 652 of the family's 3401-position model. Lineage: Eukaryota; Fungi; Ascomycota; Saccharomycetes; Saccharomycetales; Saccharomycetaceae. The record is from RNAcentral.
GAGGAAAAGAAACCAACCGGGAUUGCCUUAGUAACGGCGAGUGAAGCGGCAAAAGCUCAAAUUUGAAAUCUGGUACCUUCGGUGCCCGAGUUGUAAUUUGGAGAGGGCAACUUUGGGGCCGUUCCUUGUCUAUGUUCCUUGGAACAGGACGUCAUAGAGGGUGAGAAUCCCGUGUGGCGAGGAGUGCGGUUCUUUGUAAAGUGCCUUCGAAGAGUCGAGUUGUUUGGGAAUGCAGCUCUAAGUGGGUGGUAAAUUCCAUCUAAAGCUAAAUAUUGGCGAGAGACCGAUAGCGAACAAGUACAGUGAUGGAAAGAUGAAAAGAACUUUGAAAAGAGAGUGAAAAAGUACGUGAAAUUGUUGAAAGGGAAGGGCAUUUGAUCAGACAUGGUGUUUUGUGCCCUCUGCUCCUUGUGGGUAGGGGAAUCUCGCAUUUCACUGGGCCAGCAUCAGUUUUGGUGGCAGGAUAAAUCCAUAGGAAUGUAGCUUGCCUCGGUAAGUAUUAUAGCCUGUGGGAAUACUGCCAGCUGGGACUGAGGACUGCGACGUAAGUCAAGGAUGCUGGCAUAAUGGUUAUAUGCCGCCCGU